Non-coding RNA from Arachis ipaensis, 402 nucleotides. NCBI's taxonomy places the organism in Eukaryota, Viridiplantae, Streptophyta, Magnoliopsida, Fabales, Fabaceae. The record is from RefSeq and is a predicted model, not a curated record.
CCUUCGAAACCCUUCACUCUUGGUUCUGAAGCUCCUUUGUUUCUUUCUCCCUUUCUCCCUCCGUUUCUUUCAUUCACAGAAACUCAGCCAAAAAACCCUAGCAUUGUAAGCCUAUACCACCGCCGCCGCAAGGAGUGGCAUACUGCUGCCGUCCGUCCGUCUAUCUAGCUUCCCUCGUGCUCCAAGUCUUCAACCCCCAUUCGCUGUCACCGAUCGCAGCUGCUUCCUCGAGCUCGGCGUCCGUCAUCUUUGUCUGCUCAGCCGCGCUUCCGCCGCCGUUGGUUGUCGUUAACGUUCGCGUCUUCGUUCAGCCUUUGCUCGGCGUUCACCGUUCGCGUUCACUCGCCGUUCACCGUUCGCAUUCGCGUUCAUCUGGAAGCCACGUUGCGCUGCUUCAAACUC